UAAAAAGGAAGCGGUUUUGAA
RNAcentral lists this non-coding RNA (21 nucleotides) under Caenorhabditis elegans. Lineage: Eukaryota; Metazoa; Nematoda; Chromadorea; Rhabditida; Rhabditidae. The record is from RNAcentral.